This 288-nucleotide long non-coding RNA is filed under the name Homo sapiens (human). RNAcentral's name for it is "HSALNT0333447". Lineage: Eukaryota; Metazoa; Chordata; Mammalia; Primates; Hominidae. The record is from RNAcentral.
GAACCUCUGAGGCUAUUUGACCGGAAGGCCACAGGACUUACUUGGUUUGUGUUUGGGCAUCCAACACAUCGUCUUACCACUGCAGUCCAUGAAAAGUGCACUGACAAGAACAUUGGGAUCUCCAGGUAGUUGUUUCUACCCAGGAAGAGACGAGGGAAGACCACCAAAGCAGUGUGGUAGCCGGGAAAUUACAGAUAAGGAUCAUGGCCCUGUUCAGUUUCUUCAUCCACCACCCAUGAAGAGGCAUCGCCUAAGAAGCUGUGAUUCUGUUUCACCCAUGUGAACAAG